AUUGAACGCUGGCGACAGGCCUAACACAUGCAAGUCGAGCGCGAAAGUCUUCGGAUGAGUAAAGCGGCGAACGGGUGAGUAAUGCAUGGGAAUCUGCCUGGUAGUGGGGGACAACGUCUCGAAAGGGACGCUAAUACCGCAUACGCCUACGGGGGAAAGGGGGGGAGUCUUCGGACCUCUCGCUAUCAGAUGAGCCCAUGUCAGAUUAGCUAGUUGGUGAGGUAAAGGCUCACCAAGGCGACGAUCUGUAACUGGUCUGAGAGGAUGAUCAGUCACACUGGAACUGAGACACGGUCCAGACUCCUACGGGAGGCAGCAGUGGGGAAUAUUGGACAAUGGGGGCAACCCUGAUCCAGCCAUGCCGCGUGUGUGAAGAAGGCCCUAGGGUUGUAAAGCACUUUCAGUGGGGAGAAAGGUUAUUCACCUAAUACGUGAGUAGAUUGAUGUUACCCACAGAAGAAGCACCGGCUAACUCCGUGCCAGCAGCCGCGGUAAU
This 496-nucleotide ribosomal RNA is filed under the name uncultured bacterium. Its description in RNAcentral is "bacterial SSU rRNA". It matches the Rfam family "Bacterial small subunit ribosomal RNA", at positions 30 to 524 of the family's 1533-position model. The record is from RNAcentral.